CUUUAUUCUCAUCCAGGUCGCAGAUGAGCUUGUCGGCCGCUCGCCGGUUCCCGGUGUCCUGUGGGGAGACAGAGCGGAACGGCUCACACCGGGCAAAUUGUACCCCUGGAUGUCUACUGGAACGAUGGCGCAGCGAUUUGAUGCCAAGAUUAGAUACGGGCGUUAUUGGGAGCUCCAUAUUUGGAGGUGCGGGAGGUGAUGCACAACAGCCACCUGCUCGGAGGACCUCGGGGAUUGUCAUCCCGGAAAAAGGCGACGUGUGUCAUCUCAGCUCUGCGGUGGCUUCUUCCUAAUCUCGGUUGGGAGGAAGCAAACCCGUCCGCGGCCGAGAUGCUCCGCUGUCAUUGAUGCAACAUCCCAGGAGGGUGGGAAUCCUUCCCCGACCCUGCAGGCAAACAGCUCACCUCUGAAUCACCGGCUUUCAUUACUCUCCUCUGCCUGGCAGAUGUCACAACCGCAUCCAGGCCCUUAUUCUUACAAGGCAUCCAGGGCGUGUGUGUGUGCUCAGAGCAGCCACGUACCAUCCAAACCCAUCGCCAGACGUUUCCCAGACAUUUUGAUUGCGCCGGUGACGUUUGUCUCUGCCCUGAUCCCCACCAGCUCUGAAGGGUCCCAUGGAGCAGUUCGGCUUCUCACGUAUGGGCUCUGUCCCAUGGGACCCUUUGCAGAGGGGGGGACACCGAGCCCUGGCUUUGGGGGUCUUCAGUGUCCAUUGCAAUGUGCCCAGGGAUGUCAUGGUGCCCAGGGAUGUGGUGGUACCCAAGGAUGUCAUGGUGCCCAGGGAUGUGGUGGUACCAGGAUGUCAUGGUGCCCAGGGAUGUCAUGGUGCCCAGGGAUGUGGUGGUACCCAAGGAUGUCACGGUGCCCAAGGAUGUCAUGGUGUCCGGGGAUGUCAUGGUGCCCAGGGAUGUGGUGGUACCCAAGGAUGUCACAGUGCCCAAGGAUGUCAUGGUGCCCGGGGGUGUCAUGGUGCCUGGUGAUGUGGUGGUACCCAAGGAUGUCACAGUGCCCAGGGAUGUCAUGGUGUCCAGGGAUGUCAUGGUGCCCAAGGAUGUGGUGGUACCCAAGGAUGUCACGGUGCCCGGGGAUGUGGUGGUACCCAGGGAUGUGGUGGUGCCCAAGGACGUCACAGUGCCCAAGGAUGUCAUGGUACCCAGGGAUGUGGUGGUACCCAAGGAUGUGGUGGUACCCAAGGAUGUGGUGGUGCCCAGGGAUGUCGUGGUGCGCAGAGAUGUGGUGGUCCCAUCCCUGUGUGGCCGGCACUGACUCACCAAAGGGCACCAACAUGGGCUGAGCCAUUCCUGCCACUCCGAAGCCUUCCCAGAUCAAACAGAUAGUUAUCGGGAUGGCUCAUGCCGCAGGAAUUGCCGUCCUCCCGACAGCACAAUGUCACGCCGCGGAGCUGAUCGCCAAACCAGAAGGAGGACCCAGGAGUCCCACAGCACAUUCCCAGCCCGGUGCUCUCGUUCCCCCCCCUUCCAUCGCUCCAACCACUUGACACAUUUCCUGUCUCUAAUUAAAUGCACACCACACCUUUCUGCUUAA
Molecule: long non-coding RNA, 1545 nt
Organism: Columba livia (rock pigeon)
Lineage: Eukaryota; Metazoa; Chordata; Aves; Columbiformes; Columbidae
Exons: 2
Source: RefSeq, a predicted model, not a curated record